Long non-coding RNA from Corvus hawaiiensis (hawaiian crow), 579 nucleotides. RefSeq lists it as uncharacterized. NCBI's taxonomy places the organism in Eukaryota, Metazoa, Chordata, Aves, Passeriformes, Corvidae. The record is from RefSeq and is a predicted model, not a curated record. The transcript has 2 exons.
CGUCGGCGCUGGCACCUGGCUGCUGCUCGAGCAACAACAAAAAAAUCAACAGCCCGUGGCUGAGGCUUUUAAAAAGGAAAGUUUUCUAUGUUCUUUUUUCCAUCAGGUUUUGCUCCUUCUCUUCUUUCACUUACCUGUUGAAGCUUGAGCUGCUGGGAUGGAUUCUCCUCUGCAACCAGCCUCCACUCGGCAGAAGAUGCCAGCAUAAAAUACCUUGCCUUUCCUGGAGGGCUCCUCUCUGGACUAGGAGAACCUCAACUGAAAAUGAAGCCCGUGGCUUACGGCUUCUUUAGCCUGAUGUCUCAGAGUAAUGGCCAACACAGACAUGCAGAACUGCUGGAACUGUGUACUGGAUAAUGAGACAUUUUCUCUGCACAUCCAAGGAAAGUACAUGAUGUGAUUCUUGGACUCAAUGGUCCUUAUGCGUUCCUUCCAAGUCAGCAUACUCUGUGAUUCUAAGAACCUGCAAAACCUAGGGGAAGAUAUUCCAGGGCAUCUCUCUUUGGAUUUGGCAUUGACUGUAGCGUUCAGAAGUUAACCACACAGCUAAUAAAAGAAUGUGCAGUAAUUCAUUUUUAA